Molecule: non-coding RNA, 296 nt
Organism: Biomphalaria pfeifferi
Lineage: Eukaryota; Metazoa; Mollusca; Gastropoda; Planorbidae
Source: the annotation of a GenBank genome assembly
AUUUGAAUCAGUAUAUCAUUUAAUGAGUUAGUUAAUAAAUGUGACCUAAGCUUAUACGAAGUGUUGUUCUAUCAGUCAUGUCAUUAAGUGUGUAUUCUGUGCGGUUAGAAACAUUUCAUGCUUUUAGCUUUCUCAAUACGCCAUAAUCUUAUCACUUAUCUGGUAAAUUUGGGGUUAGAGAGGAGAUAUCUGCGUGAAUUUUACCGUGAUCGUUUUUUUAAAGCAUUUAAAAAAAAAAAUAAGGGGAAAUUUCCUGAAUUUGAACUUAUGAUCCAAGCCUCCUCAAGCCGACAUUC